CAGCAAAUCCAUUAGGGCAGUGGUGGAAAAAUUGAAGAAGGCGACCGAUGACCAACUGAUUUUGACCUACAACAGAAGCUUUUUUGGUGGGUGUGGACCAACAAGAGGGAUGACCUGAGAAGACAACAACGUGGAAAGGCAGAGGCCCACAGGUUGUCUGCUAAGAACAGCAAAAGGGUCAGAUCAAAACUGGAAAGCAGGCUGAAGGCCAUUGCAACCAUAGACUGGCCGGAGAAGAAGAAGGAGAAAGUUCUACCUCUCUCGAAUGGGAAGAGCUGUCAGACGAAGAGGAUGAAAAUCUUCUCUUGUCAACUGCUUUCUGGUGGGAAAGCAAGAAACUUUGUUCAUAUAAUCGACAAUUGGACAACCAGCGGUUGUUCAAGGCUACUGCAAGGGGCCGAAAAAAUAUGAAGAUGUGGGGAAGACAUCCCACACAAGUCCAACACGCUGAUCUGCCACUGGACAUGCCCAGUUGGGCAGUGAAAAGUUCAGCAGUAGAAGACAAGCUGAACAACACUGCUGAUUUUGAUUCCUGAGACGCAUUUCUGAUGUCCCAUGCUGUGAUGUUGCUUGAAUAUUGCUAAAAGCGGAGUAAAACUAUACUCACUUACUCUUAUGUCCCUGAUGUUAUGUACAUGUAGCUAGAUACAUAAUUAAUUAACCAUGUUCACAAUCAAAGAGUUUU
Molecule: long non-coding RNA, 685 nt
Organism: Haliotis rubra (blacklip abalone)
Lineage: Eukaryota; Metazoa; Mollusca; Gastropoda; Lepetellida; Haliotidae
Exons: 3
Source: RefSeq, a predicted model, not a curated record